GUGCCAGCCGCCGCGGUAAUACCGGCAGCUCAAGUGAUGACCACUCUUAUUGGGCCUAAAGCGUCCGUAGCUGGCCGCACAAGUCCGUCGGGAAAUCCGCCCGCUCAACGGGCGGCCGUCCGGCGGAACCUGUGUGGCUUGGGACCGGGAGGCCUGAGGGGUACGAUCGGGGUAGGAGUGAAAUCCUGUAAUCCCGCUCGGACCGCCGAUGGGGAAACCACCUCAGGAGAACGGAUCCGACAGUGAGGGACGAAAGCUAAGAUCGCGAACCGGAUUAGAUACCCUGGUAGUCU
This 293-nucleotide ribosomal RNA is filed under the name uncultured bacterium. RNAcentral's name for it is "partial 16S ribosomal RNA". It matches the Rfam family "Archaeal small subunit ribosomal RNA", at positions 455 to 747 of the family's 1478-position model. The record is from RNAcentral.